RNAcentral lists this long non-coding RNA (421 nucleotides) under Carica papaya (papaya). RNAcentral's name for it is "long non-coding RNA (CPAP_LNC004048)". Lineage: Eukaryota; Viridiplantae; Streptophyta; Magnoliopsida; Brassicales; Caricaceae. The record is from RNAcentral.
GAAUUUCUAGUAGUCCCAUAAGCACACUGUUGAAGACAAAUUCACCAAAUUCAAUAAGAAAUUAAGUGAAGGGUGUUAAACAACAUUUGCUAAGCUCAAGGUACCUAUGACAAAGAGAAUUUUGGAUUUAGUCCAUUGGUAAAAUCAAAGCACAAUCCCUCAAAUUAUACUUUCCAAAUUACUCCUUUGUCCAAUUUCGGUCCCAUGAACAAUGACACUCUUCCAAAGGCCACAACUUAAUUCCAUAAGGCAAAUUCUAAUCCCUCAGUUUUAUAAUUUUUUUUUUAUAAAUUCACCCAACACAACAUCUUUCAACAUGAUAUCUCACACGUGCAAAUUGGUUUUCAUCUUGUUGUGUAGAAACCCUACCCAAAUGAACAUUUCUUUCAUGAGCUCCAACUUUGGCCACUAAAGACACUAG